AUCAUCAACAACAUCGACGGCAGCGGUGCUGGCGAAGGGGGCCCGUCUGAGAAGGGCCUAAGAGUCUCCAUUGACUCCAUUAGGGAGAGUUUACGGCAGUUCCAGGAGAGACCAGAACGGGUCCCGCGGCUUCGAUUCCAAAGAGUUCUGGGAAUCAGGAUAAUAAAAUUUGAGCCCAAAUUCGGACUCGGGCCCGGCC
This 199-nucleotide long non-coding RNA is filed under the name Elaeis guineensis (African oil palm). Its description in RNAcentral is "long non-coding RNA (EGUI_LNC044605)". The record is from RNAcentral. Lineage: Eukaryota; Viridiplantae; Streptophyta; Magnoliopsida; Arecales; Arecaceae.